GACGAACGCUGGCGGCGUGCUUAACACAUGCAAGUCGAACGGAAAGGCCCUGCUUUUGUGGGGUGCUCGAGUGGCGAACGGGUGAGUAACACGUGAGUAACCUGCCCUUGACUUUGGGAUAACUUCAGGAAACUGGGGCUAAUACCGGAUAGGAGCUCCUGCUGCAUGGUGGGGGUUGGAAAGUUUCGGCGGUUGGGGAUGGACUCGCGGCUUAUCAGCUUGUUGGUGGGGUAGUGGCUUACCAAGGCUUUGACGGGUAGCCGGCCUGGGAGGGUGACCGGCGACAUUGGGACUGAGGUAGGGACCAGACUCCUACGGGAGGCAGCAGUGGGGAAUAUUGCACAAUGGGCGGAAGCCUGAUGCAGCAACGCCGCGUGCGGGAUGACGGCCUUCGGGUUGUAAACCGCUUUCGCCUGUGACGAAGCGUGAGUGACGGUAAUGGGUAAAGAAGCACCGGCUAACUACGUG
This 468-nucleotide ribosomal RNA is filed under the name uncultured bacterium. Its description in RNAcentral is "partial 16S ribosomal RNA". It matches the Rfam family "Bacterial small subunit ribosomal RNA", at positions 28 to 507 of the family's 1533-position model. The record is from RNAcentral.